AUUAUUGAUGAUGAUGAGAUGAUUUCGUAUAUCCUAACCGGUUUAGAUCAAGAUUACAAUCCUGUCGUGUCUUCUGUUAUGGGUCGGUAUGAUACCAUCUCCAUGAGCGAUCUUUAUGCUCAGUUGAUGGCUUAUGAUA
This is a small nucleolar RNA of Setaria italica (foxtail millet), 139 nucleotides long. It matches the Rfam family "Small nucleolar RNA Z247". Rfam says of the family: Z247 is a member of the C/D class of snoRNA which contain the C (UGAUGA) and D (CUGA) box motifs. Most of the members of the box C/D family function in directing site-specific 2'-O-methylation of substrate RNAs. NCBI's taxonomy places the organism in Eukaryota, Viridiplantae, Streptophyta, Magnoliopsida, Poales, Poaceae. The record is from Rfam.